AUGCAUGCUCGAGCGGCCGCCAGUGUGAUGGAUAUCUGCAGAAUUCGCCCUUGGAUUAGGCAUGCAAGUCGAGCGAGAAACCGGAGCUUGCUCCGGGAGUAAAGCGGCGAACGGGUGAGUAAUGCAUGGUCAAUCUACCUUCGAGUUGGGAAUAACUCCGGGAAACUGGAGCUAAUACCCGAUGGUCUUUUGGUGUCGCAUGGCACCGAAAGUAAAGCUAGCUGGGGCAACCCAGCCUUCGCUCGAAGAGGAGACCAUGUCCCAUCAGCUUGUUGGUGAGGUAACGGCUCACCAAGGCGACGACGGGUAGCCGGGCUGAGAGGCUGUCCGGCCACACUGGCACUGAGACACUGGCCAGACUCCUACGGGAGGCUGCAGUCGAGAAUCUUCCGCAAUGGGCGAAAGCCUGACGGAGCGACGCCGCGUGAGGGAUGAAGGCCUUCGGGUUGUAAACCUCUGUCACCGGUUAUGAAAUGAUCAUGGGUUAAUAGCCCAUGGUCUUGACAAAGGCCGGAGAGGAAGUCACGGCUAACUACGUGCCAGCAGCCGCGGUAAUACGUAGGUGGCAAGCGUUACUCGGAAUCACUGGGCAUAAAGCGCGCGUAGGCGGCUGCGUAAGUCGGGUGUGAAAUCCCUCGGCCUAACCGAGGAACUGCGCCCGAAACUGCAUGGCUUGAGGCUGGAAGGGGAGAGUGGAAUUCCCGGUGGAGCGGUGAAAUGCGUUGAUAUCGGGAGGACGCCGGCGGCGAACGCGACUCUCUGGUCCAGCUCUGACGCUAUGUGCGAAAGCUAGGGGAGCAAACGGGAUAGAUACCCCCGUAGU
Molecule: ribosomal RNA, 823 nt
Filed under: uncultured Planctomycetota bacterium
Lineage: Bacteria; Pseudomonadati; Planctomycetota
Description: uncultured planctomycete partial 16S ribosomal RNA
Rfam family: Bacterial small subunit ribosomal RNA
Source: RNAcentral